GCUAGACUUAGAGGGUCAAAUAAAGAUGGAAGAGAUGUGUUUUUAGCAGAUUCUUGAAGAUGCUCGGACUGAGUUGAAUAUUUUCUGA
Molecule: long non-coding RNA, 88 nt
Organism: Sinocyclocheilus grahami
Lineage: Eukaryota; Metazoa; Chordata; Actinopteri; Cypriniformes; Cyprinidae
Exons: 3
Source: RefSeq, a predicted model, not a curated record